UGCGUAGGCGGUCGGGUAAGUCUGACGUGAAAGCUCGCGGCUCAACCGCGAAACGGCGUCGGAUACUAUUCGGCUCGAGGAGUGGAGGGGAGACUGGAAUUCUCGGUGUAGCAGUGAAAUGCGUAGAUAUCGAGAGGAACACCAGUGGCGAAGGCGAGUCUCUGGACACUUCCUGACGCUGAGGCACGAAAGGCCAGGGGAGGCAAACG
This 209-nucleotide ribosomal RNA is filed under the name uncultured bacterium. RNAcentral describes it as "partial 16S ribosomal RNA". It matches the Rfam family "Bacterial small subunit ribosomal RNA", at positions 568 to 775 of the family's 1533-position model. The record is from RNAcentral.